GACGAACGCUGGCGGCGUGCUUAACACAUGCAAGUCGAGCGGUAAGGCCCUUUCGGGGGUACACGAGCGGCGAACGGGUGAGCAACACGUGGGUGACCUGCCCUCAGCUCUGGGAUAAGCCUGGGAAACUGGGUCUAAUACUGGAUAUGACUCCACGGUGCAUGUCGUGGGGUGGAAAGCCUUGUGCGGCUGAGGAUGGGCCCGCGGCCUAUCAGCUUGUUGGUGGGGUGAUGGCCUACCAAGGCGACGACGGGUAGCCGGCCUGAGAGGGCGACCGGCCACACUGGGACUGAGACACGGCCCAGACUCCUACGGGAGGCAGCAGUGGGGAAUCUUGCGCAAUGGGCGAAAGCCUGACGCAGCGACGCCGCGUGAGGGAUGACGGCCUCGG
This 391-nucleotide ribosomal RNA is filed under the name uncultured bacterium. RNAcentral describes it as "bacterial SSU rRNA". It matches the Rfam family "Bacterial small subunit ribosomal RNA", at positions 28 to 420 of the family's 1533-position model. The record is from RNAcentral.